This 305-nucleotide ribosomal RNA is filed under the name uncultured bacterium. RNAcentral describes it as "bacterial SSU rRNA". It matches the Rfam family "Bacterial small subunit ribosomal RNA", at positions 338 to 640 of the family's 1533-position model. The record is from RNAcentral.
CCUACGGGACGCAGCAGUGAGGAAUAUUGGUCAAUGGCCGGAAGGCUGAACCAGCCAAGCCGCGUGAAGGACGAAGGUGCCAAGCAUUGUAAACUUCUUUUGUCAAGGGACAAAAUCAGGCUCGAGAGCCUGACCGAGGGUACUUGAAGAAAAAGCAUCGGCUAACUCCGUGCCAGCAGCCGCGGUAAUACGGAGGAUGCGAGCGUUAUCCGGAUUCACUGGGCGUAAAGGGAGCGCAGGCGGCAUGGCAAGUCUGAUGUGAAAACCCGGGGCCCAACCCCGGGAGUGCAUUGGAAACUGCCAGG